RNAcentral lists this ribosomal RNA (453 nucleotides) under uncultured eukaryote. RNAcentral describes it as "bacterial SSU rRNA". It matches the Rfam family "Eukaryotic small subunit ribosomal RNA", at positions 622 to 1072 of the family's 1831-position model. The record is from RNAcentral.
AAAAGCUCGUAGUUGAACGUUCGGGUUCCGCGGGACGGGGCCGCCCCGCGAGGGACGGCGCCGCCCCGGGGCUCGUGAUAUCUCAUCUCGCCGCCCGUCGCGAGGCGGACGGAGGGAUGGAUGAGGUUACCUGGAAAAAUCGGGGCGAUCUAGGCGGGCGAACCUCGCCAACGAACGAUCGGACAUGGGAUAACGGAAGAGGGCGUCGGCUCGACUUCGUCGGUUCCUCGGGCCGAGGCACGUACGGUGAAUAGGGGACGGUCGGGGCCGCCCGUACCGGGGUCGUGAGAGGUGAAAUUCUAGGAUCGACCCGAGACGAACCGCCGCGAAAUCAUUCGGCAAGGACGCUUUCAUUAAUCAAGAACGAAAGUCGGGGGAUCGAAGACGAUCAGAUACCGUCGUAGUCCCGACCGUAAACGAUGCCGACCGAGGGCCCGGAGGAGUUACGUACGA